GUCUUGAUCUCGAAGAAGGUAAGAACCUCUCCGGCUUAAACUCAUUAGGAUCUUCCCAAGUAUCAGGAUCUCUCAUCAAAGCAUAAACAUUAAUAACAAGCAUUGUCUUCUCUGGCAUGUAAAAGCCUUUGACCUCACAACUCUCUUGGAAUGUUCUAACCAAGAGCGGCGAUGGAGGGUGCAUUCGUAGUCCUUCCUUAACCGUUGCUUGCAAAUAAGGCAGGUUUGGUAGAUCAGUUUCUUUCAUCAAUCUUGAUUUCCCGACAACCGAAUCGAUUUCUUCUCUAAUUCUUUCAAGAAUGUUAGGCUUGUUAAUAAGUUCAGCCAUUAUCCAUUGUACGGUUUGCGCGGAAGUGUCAGUGCCUCCAAGGAAAAUCUCCUACAGAAGUACAUAACAU
RNAcentral lists this long non-coding RNA (398 nucleotides) under Capsella grandiflora. Its description in RNAcentral is "long non-coding RNA (CGRA_LNC000903)". Lineage: Eukaryota; Viridiplantae; Streptophyta; Magnoliopsida; Brassicales; Brassicaceae. The record is from RNAcentral.